Molecule: ribosomal RNA, 253 nt
Filed under: uncultured bacterium
Lineage: Bacteria
Description: partial 16S ribosomal RNA
Rfam family: Bacterial small subunit ribosomal RNA
Source: RNAcentral
UACAGAGGGGGCAAGCGUUGUUCGGAAUUACUGGGCGUAAAGGGCGCGUAGGCGGCCUUCUAAGUCGAACGUGAAAUCCCCGGGCUCAACCCGGGAACUGCGUCCGAUACUGGAAGGCUUGAAUCCGGGAGAGGGAUGCGGAAUUCCAGGUGUAGCGGUGAGAUGCGUAGAUAUCUGGAGGAACACCGGUGGCGAAGGCGGGUCUCUGGGCCGAUACUGACGCUGAGGAGCGAAAGCAUGGGUAGCGAACAGG